This 465-nucleotide ribosomal RNA is filed under the name Vreelandella stevensii. Its description in RNAcentral is "partial 16S ribosomal RNA". It matches the Rfam family "Bacterial small subunit ribosomal RNA", at positions 338 to 795 of the family's 1533-position model. The record is from RNAcentral. Lineage: Bacteria; Pseudomonadati; Pseudomonadota; Gammaproteobacteria; Oceanospirillales; Halomonadaceae.
CCUACGGGGGGCUGCAGUGGGGAAUAUUGGACAAUGGGGGCAACCCUGAUCCAGCCAUGCCGCGUGUGUGAAGAAGGCCCUCGGGUUGUAAAGCACUUUCAGUGAGGAAGAACGCCUGGUGGUUAAUACCCAUCAGGAAAGACAGCACUCACAGAAGAAGCACCGGCUAACUCCGUGCCAGCAGCCGCGGUAAUACGGAGGGUGCGAGCGUUAAUCGGAAUUACUGGGCGUAAAGCGCGCGUAGGUGGCUUGAUAAGCCGGUUGUGAAAGCCCCGGGCUCAACCUGGGAACGGCAUCCGGAACUGUCAAGCUAGAGUGCAGGAGAGGAAGGUAGAAUUCCCGGUGUAGCGGUGAAAUGCGUAGAGAUCGGGAGGAAUACCAGUGGCGAAGGCGGCCCUCUGGACUGUCACUGACACUGAGGUGCGAAAGCGUGGGUAGCAAACAGGAUUAGAUACCCUGGUAGUC